This 290-nucleotide ribosomal RNA is filed under the name uncultured bacterium. Its description in RNAcentral is "partial 16S ribosomal RNA". It matches the Rfam family "Archaeal small subunit ribosomal RNA", at positions 455 to 747 of the family's 1478-position model. The record is from RNAcentral.
GUGCCAGCCGCGGUAAUACCGGCAGCCCGAGUGAUGGCCGAUCUUAUUGGGCGUAAAGCGUCCGUAGCUUGCUGUGUAAGUCCAUUGGGAAAUCGACGUGCUCAACGCGUCGGCGUCCGGUGGAAACUACACGGCUUGGGGCCGAGAGACUCGACGGGUACGUCCGGGGUAGGAGUGAAAUCCUGUAAUCCUGGACGGACCACCAAUGGGGAAACCACGUCGAGAGACCGGACCCGACAGUGAGGGACGAAAGCCAGGGUCUCGAACCGGAUUAGAAACCCUUGUAGUCC